This 482-nucleotide ribosomal RNA is filed under the name uncultured bacterium. Its description in RNAcentral is "partial 16S ribosomal RNA". It matches the Rfam family "Bacterial small subunit ribosomal RNA", at positions 30 to 507 of the family's 1533-position model. The record is from RNAcentral.
AUUGAACGCUGGCGGCAUGCCUUACACAUGCAAGUCGAACGGUAACAGGUCUUCGGAUGCUGACGAGUGGAGAACGGGUGAGUAAUACAUCGGAAAGUGCCCGAUCGUGGGGGAAAAAGCGGCGAAAGCUCUGCUAAUACCGCAUACGAUCUACGGAUGACAGCGGGGGAUCCUCGGACCCCGCGCGGCCGGAGCGGCCGCUGGCAGAUUAGGUAGUUGGUGGGAUAAAAGCUUACCAAGCCGACGAUCUGUAGCUGGUUUGAGAGGAUGAUCAGCCACACUGGGACUGAGACACGGCCCAGACUCCUACGGGAGGCAGCAGUGGGGAAUUUUGGACAAUGGGCGAAGGCCUGAUCCAGCCAUGCCGCGUGCAGGAUGAAGGCCUUCGGGUUGUAAACUGCUUUUGUACGGAACGAAAAGCCUCUUUCUAAUAAAGAGGGGUCAUGACGGUACCGUAAGAAUAAGCACCGGCUAACUACGUG